UAAUAUUCUGUUUUUGGGGCCCAACAAGAGAGUAUUCCCCCACCAAAGAUGGUCUAAGGAUCAAGGUUGUCUCGGCACCUGAUUGGGUGCGGAGGAAAAUGAUUUUUUUUUUCUUUGCCUCAUUUCAUUUGUAUCUCUCUCUCUCUCUCCUCUCAGUUUUGCGAUUCACCUUGGUAUUGUUGGGUACCAGAAAUUGAAAGAUACAUAAUGAUUUUCAAGGCAAAAUCCAUACGUCGUCCUUGAGUAUAGCGGCGCACAUGCACCGUACCAGAACCUGCACAGGGAUACGACUACUGCAUCUGGACUCUGCAGCAUAAAAUUGGGAGGUGAAAGUUCAAACCUGGGUUGAUCCUGUUGAGAGUGUGGAGUUUGUUGGGGUUGAGGCUAGAUUCUGGAGACGGAUUGUGUCCAAGGAGAAGAAUGCAAACCAUACACACCUUGUUUUUGCAAAUCCUUGUGAUUUUUGUACACCUCUCAAGAACAAGGUUUUUUAUUUUAUUUUACCCCUUUGUAUUAUGACCUAUGAUAUGAGAAUCAAUGCGUUUAAGCUAUUUGUGAUGUUGAAAUGUGAAUGAGUUCAAUCUUUGUUUA
Long non-coding RNA from Camelina sativa (false flax), 591 nucleotides. RefSeq lists it as uncharacterized. NCBI's taxonomy places the organism in Eukaryota, Viridiplantae, Streptophyta, Magnoliopsida, Brassicales, Brassicaceae. The record is from RefSeq and is a predicted model, not a curated record.